AAAUGUGAGUUUGAUCCUGGCUCAGGAUGAAUGCUGGCGGCGUACUUAAUACAUGCAAGUUGAACGAAUCUAUUAGGACUUGUUCUAAUAGAUUAGUAGCAAACGGGUGAGUAAUACAUAGGUAACAUGCCUCUAAGUCUGGGAUAACUUUUCGAAAGAAACGCUAAUACCGGAUACUCUUUUUCCUUCGCAUGUUGGAGAAAGGAAAGAUUUAUUGCUUAGAGAUUGACCUAUGCCUGAUUAGUUAGUUGGUAGGGUAACGGCCUACCAAGACUUUGAUCAGUAGCUGGUCUGAGAGGAUGAACAGCCACACUGGGACUGAGACACGGCCCAGACUCCUACGGGAGGCAGCAGUAGGGAAUAUUGCGCAAUGGGCGAAAGCCUGACGCAGUGACGCCGCGUGAGUGAUGACGUCUUUAGGGAUGUAAAGCUCUGUCAAGAGGGACGAUCGUGACGGUACCUCUAAAGGAAGCCCCGGCUAAAUACGUGCCAGCAGCCGCGGUAAUACGUAUGGGGCGAGCAUUAUCCGGAUUUAUUGGGCAUAAAGAGCACGUAGGUGGUAAAUUAAGUCUUAUGUUAAAGGCAUCGGCUCAACCGAUGUUUGCAUCAGAAACUGAUUUACUAGAGAACAAUAGAGGGAAGCGGAACUCACGGUGUAGCGGUGAAAUGCGUAGAUAUCGUGAGGAACACCAGUUGCGAAGGCGGCUUCCUGGAUUGAUUCUGACACUGAGGUGCGAAAGCAUGGGGAGCGAACGGGAUUAGAUACCCCGGUAGUCCAUGCCGUAAACGUUGUUCACUAGGUGUAGGAGGUAUCGACCCCUUCUGUGCCAAAGAUAAUUCGUUAAGUGAACCGCCUGGGAAGUACGACCGCAAGGUUAAAACUCAAAGGAAUUGACGGGGGCCCGCACAAGCAGUGGAGCAUGUGGUUUAAUUCGACGAUACGCGAAGAACCUUACCAGGGUUUGACAUCUGUAGAAUUCUCUAGAAACAGAGAAGUGCCCGCAAGGGAGCUACAAGACAGGUGGUGCAUGGCUGUCGGCAGCUCGUGUCGUGAGAUGUUGGGUUAAGUCCCGCAACGAGCGCAACCCCCAUUCUGUGUUGCCAGCACGUAAUGGUGGGAACUUACGGAAGACUGCCUGUGGUAAGCAGGAGGAAGGUGGGGACGACGUCAAGUCAUCAUGCCCCUUACACCCUGGGCCACACACAUGCUACAAUGGGUAGUACAAAGGGUUGCCAAGCCGCGAGGUGGAGCUAAUCUCAAAAAACUAUCCUCAGUUCGGAUUGCAGUCUGAAACUCGACUGCAUGAAGUUGGAAUUGCUAGUAAACGCAAAUCAGCUACGUUGCGUUGAAUACGUUCCCGGGCCUUGUACACACCGCCCGUCACACCAUGAGAGUCGGAAACACCCGAAGCCAAUGUGCUAACCCUCGGGAGGCAGUUGUCUAAGGUGGAGCUGGCGAUUGGGGUGAAGUCGUAACAAGGUAGCCGUACCGGAAGGUGUGGCUGGAUCACCUCCUUUCU
RNAcentral lists this ribosomal RNA (1520 nucleotides) under Candidatus Marinamargulisbacteria bacterium SCGC AG-410-N11. RNAcentral's name for it is "bacterial SSU rRNA". It matches the Rfam family "Bacterial small subunit ribosomal RNA". The record is from RNAcentral. Lineage: Bacteria; Bacillati; Candidatus Margulisiibacteriota; Candidatus Marinamargulisbacteria.